Molecule: long non-coding RNA, 378 nt
Organism: Brassica oleracea var. oleracea
Lineage: Eukaryota; Viridiplantae; Streptophyta; Magnoliopsida; Brassicales; Brassicaceae
Exons: 3
Source: RefSeq, a predicted model, not a curated record
AUAUUUCAAAGCAUAUAUAUAUACAAGGAUCAUGACGAAGUUAAAGUUUGAUUACGAGGAGGAAUACAUAAGAAACUCGAGAGGCGUCGAGUUGUUCGCUUGCAGAUGGGUUCCGUCUUCUUCUUCUCCCAGAGCUCUCAUCUUCCUCUGCCAUGGCUACGGAAUGGAAUGCAGCGGCUUCAUGAGUGGUAUUUGAUUAUCAUCCUCUUCUCUCUUUUAAUGCUCCUCUGCCACACGAUACAUAGUAUAUAUCCUCUUUUCAACCAAACCAAUAAAAAAGUUCUUCGUCUAUAUUCGACUCAACCAUUUAAUCGUCCAUAUUAGUCUAUAAUAUACUCUUCUGCAUGGUUGCGUGUUUGUUACACUUGAGUUGCCUUU